UUGACCUCGGAUCAGGUAGGAAUACCCGCUGAACUUAAGUAUAUCAAGGAAACUAAGAAUAUUGUGAUGCGCUGGUGUCACCUUUUUCUUCCAACCCCCAUUAUUGGUAAUGCCUUGUAACCAAAUUUUUAUCCACCCCCCCGUUAAUUGAUUUGGCUUGUAACAACUUUUAAUUCCAACCCCGCCUUUUUGGAGGGGUUUGUUCCCAAUUUUACCCCCCC
This 221-nucleotide ribosomal RNA is filed under the name Tainosphaeria siamensis. Its description in RNAcentral is "partial 28S ribosomal RNA". Lineage: Eukaryota; Fungi; Ascomycota; Sordariomycetes; Chaetosphaeriales; Chaetosphaeriaceae. The record is from RNAcentral.